GUCCUCGUCGUCUAGAGGCCUAGGACAUCGGCCUUUCACGCCGACGACACGAGUUCGAAUCUCGUCGAGGACG
RNAcentral lists this transfer RNA (73 nucleotides) under Bradymonadales bacterium. Its description in RNAcentral is "tRNA-Glu". It matches the Rfam family "tRNA". From Rfam's summary of the family: Transfer RNA (tRNA) molecules are approximately 80 nucleotides in length. Their secondary structure includes four short double-helical elements and three loops (D, anti-codon, and T loops). The record is from RNAcentral. Lineage: Bacteria; Deltaproteobacteria; Bradymonadales.